UACGUAGGGUGCGAGCGUUAAUCGGAAUUACUGGGCGUAAAGCGUGUGUAGGCGGCCAUAUAAGUCGGAUGUGAAAGCCCUGGGCUCAACCCAGGAAGUGCACUCGAUACUGUAUGGCUCGAGUACUGGAGAGGUUGGUGGAAUUCUCGGUGUAGAGGUGAAAUUCGUAGAUAUCAGGAGGAACACCGGUGGCGAAGGCGGAUCUCUGGGCCUGUUCUGACGCUGAGGCGCGAAAGCUAGGGGAGCGAACAGG
Molecule: ribosomal RNA, 253 nt
Filed under: uncultured bacterium
Lineage: Bacteria
Description: partial 16S ribosomal RNA
Rfam family: Bacterial small subunit ribosomal RNA
Source: RNAcentral